AUUGAACGCUGGCGGAAUGCUUUACACAUGCAAGUCGAACGGCAGCACGGACUUCGGUUUGGUGGCGAGUGGCGAACGGGUGAGUAAUAUAUCGGAACGUGCCCCGUCGUGGGGGAUAACGUAGUGAAAAUUACGCUAAUACCGCCUACGAUUUACGGAUGAAAGCGGGGGAUCGCAAGACCUCGCGCGAUUGGAGCGGCCGAUAUCAGAUUAGGUAGUUGGUGAGGUAAAGGCUCACCCAGCCAACGAUCUGUAGCUGGUUUGAGAGGACGACCCGCCCCCCUGGAAAUGAGACCCGGUCCCGACUCCUACGGGAGGCAGCCGUGGGGAAUUUUGGACAAUGGACGCAAGUUUGAUCCCGCCCUUCCGCGUGCCGGACGAAGGCCUUCGGGUUGUAAACUGCUUUUGUACAGAACGAAAAGGUCUCUAUUAAUACUAGGGGCUCAUGACGGUACUGUAAGAAUAAGCCCCGGCUAACUACGUGCCCGCC
This 490-nucleotide ribosomal RNA is filed under the name uncultured bacterium. Its description in RNAcentral is "bacterial SSU rRNA". It matches the Rfam family "Bacterial small subunit ribosomal RNA", at positions 30 to 513 of the family's 1533-position model. The record is from RNAcentral.